CUCAAAGGUUAAUGAAUGACGGAGAUAGUCCACCCUUUCCUCGUAAAAAAAGAAACUGACUUUUAAUAAUGCCCAAGUAAAACUUGUAAUUCUCUAACAAACUAAAAAUCACUGGAUAAUGAAAUCACUAUUCAUUAGUUUUGGCUUACUUAAAAGCCUAAUAAACAGUGCCUAGGGCACUGUAAAAAUGAAAAACAAUUUCAAUGUCCUUUCAUGAGUUCUAAUCUAAUUAGUGUAUGACUGCAUAAAGAAAAUAUCUCGGGGGCUGGGGAUAUAGCUCAGUGGUGCUGUCGCCUGCCUUCCAAGCACAAGGUCCUUAGUUGGAUCCCUGGUACAAAAAAAAAAAGAAAAAAGAAAAGAAAAUCUCUCAGGGCAAGGGAUUUAGCUCAGAGGCACUGCACCUACCUCACAAGCACAAGGUCUUGAGUUAGAUCCCUGGUACCAAAAAAAAAAAAAAUCUAUUGGUGGACAAAAAUUAAACUUACAUAUAUACUGCAAAUGUGAUUUUCUCGUUUUGUUUUCCAAAAGCUUCUAGUUAUUUAACCAAGUGAAGGGAUGUACUAACAUUACUUGCAUAAGAAAAAUUAAAACUCUCACAUAAUCCAUGUAUUAUACCUUUAAUGCUGAUAAAAUUUAAAAGCUAGUAAUUACAACCUUUAUUGAGCUAAUACAGAUACAUAAAAAAUGCUUUAAGGGAAGAUUUUUGGGUAGCUAGACCAUUUAAAUCAUACUUUCAGACUAGCCAUUUAUCCUCCCCAUGUGCUGUUAAGGUACUUCUUACAACCAUAUUGUUCAAAUAUGGUUACUUAUUCUUUACUGCAUUCCUUCACAAAAUAAAGGCUGAGAGUAAAGCCUUGAGACUAAAUUAAGAGACAGGCUCCCUCUUUUCUAACAACCCUCUGGGAUCUUGUAUCACUUCAUAAAAUAGAUGUUAUACUGGGUUGAUUUUUAAAAAGGACCAAUAAUCAUGUUUCAUGGCUGCACCAAAUAAAAACUUUUCACUUUAAUCUCUAUUAUCUUAAUUAUUAGUACAUUAGGGUUGAGGUCUCCAAAUUUAAACAAAUUUUUCUCCCUUAAAACCACAGCCUCUAUGUAAAUCAAGUAUAGCUUAAUGCCAUUUUACAAUUAUGCACUAAUUCCUAAAAUAUUCCACAAAAAGUACAAUGAGUUUUUAAAUUUUGAUCAGCUGCCUAGUGUCAGUUUUAACCAGAGCUGAAAAACAGAAGAUUUAAGUAAACUGAAAGUCAUUACUGGGUUUUAAACGAAGAUAUUUAAGUAAUCUUCUUGAUAUUUUCUUUUGACAGCCACUUAUUUCUACCCUGAAAAAAGCUUGAAAUAAAAAAAUUAGUAUUUAAAAUACUAUACAAAAUUCUAAAAAAAGAAAACCAGACAAGUAUACUUCAGUUUAAUCACUGUCCACAUAGAUUUGUGAAAAAUGUUAAGAGAUACACUUUAAGUCGCAAAGGAGAUUUAAGAAUUCUUGUUAACUAUUACAGUAUGGAAAUGUGACUA
This 1512-nucleotide long non-coding RNA is filed under the name Heterocephalus glaber (naked mole-rat). RNAcentral's name for it is "lncRNA (ENSHGLG00000042318.1)". The record is from RNAcentral. Lineage: Eukaryota; Metazoa; Chordata; Mammalia; Rodentia; Bathyergidae.